RNAcentral lists this ribosomal RNA (397 nucleotides) under uncultured bacterium. RNAcentral describes it as "partial 16S ribosomal RNA". It matches the Rfam family "Bacterial small subunit ribosomal RNA", at positions 523 to 918 of the family's 1533-position model. The record is from RNAcentral.
AUACGUAGGGGGCGAGCGUUGUCCGGAAUGAUUGGGCGUAAAGGGCGCGUAGGCGGCGCGGUAAGUCUGGAGUGAAAGUCCUGCUUUCAAGGCGGGAAUUGCUUUGGAUACUGCCGCGCUUGAGUGCAGGAGGGGGUAUCGGUAUUCCCGGUGUCGCGGGGAAAAGCGUAGAGAUCGGGAGGAACACCAGUGGCGAAGGCGGGUAACUGGACUGCAACUGACGCUGAGGCGCGAAAGUGUGGGGAGCAAACAGGAUUAGAUACCCUGGUAGUCCACACUGUAAACGAUGAAUGCUAGGUGUAAGAGGUAUCGACCCCUUUUGUGCCGGAGUCAACACAAUAAGCAUUCCGCCUGGGGAGUACGGCCGCAAGGUUGAAACUCAAAUGAAUUGACGGGG